This 465-nucleotide ribosomal RNA is filed under the name uncultured bacterium. Its description in RNAcentral is "partial 16S ribosomal RNA". It matches the Rfam family "Bacterial small subunit ribosomal RNA", at positions 28 to 507 of the family's 1533-position model. The record is from RNAcentral.
GACGAACGCUGGCGGCGUGCUUAACACAUGCAAGUCGAACGGAAAGGCCCUGCUUGCAGGGUACUCGAGUGGCGAACGGGUGAGUAACACGUGGGUGAUCUGCCCUGCACUUCGGGAUAAGCCUGGGAAACUGGGUCUAAUACCGGAUAGGAGCCAUUUUUAGUGUGAUGGUUGGAAAGUUUUUUCGGUGUAGGAUGAGCUCGCGGCCUAUCAGCUUGUUGGUGGGGUAAUGGCCUACCAAGGCGGCGACGGGUAGCCGGCCUGAGAGGGUGGACGGCCACAUUGGGACUGAGAUACGGCCCAGACUCCUACGGGAGGCAGCAGUGGGGAAGAUUGCACAAUGGGCGCAAGCCUGAUGCAGCGACGCCGCGGGGGGGAGGACGGCCUUCGGGUUGGAAACUCCUUUCGCUAGGGACGAAGCUUUUUGUGACGGUACCUAGAUAAGAAGCACCGGCUAACUACGUG